Molecule: ribosomal RNA, 497 nt
Filed under: uncultured bacterium
Lineage: Bacteria
Description: partial 16S ribosomal RNA
Rfam family: Bacterial small subunit ribosomal RNA
Source: RNAcentral
GAUGAACGCUGGCGGCGUGCCUAAUACAUGCAAGUCGAGCGAACGGACGAGAAGCUUGCUUCUCUGAUGUUAGCGGCGGACGGGUGAGUAACACGUGGAUAACCUACCUAUAAGACUGGGAUAACUUCGGGAAACCGGAGCUAAUACCGGAUAAUAUUUUGAACCGCAUGGUUCAAAAGUGAAAUACGGUCCUGCUGUCACUUAUAGAUGGUUCCGCGCUGCAUUAGCUAGUUGUUAAGGUAACGGCUUACCAAGGCAACGAUGCAUAGCCGACCUGAGAGGGUGAUCGGCCACACUGGAAGUGAGACACGGUCCAGACUCCUACGGGAGGCAGCAGUAGGGAAUAUGCCGCAAUGGGCGAAAGCAUGACGGAGCAACGCCGCGUGAGUGAUGAAGGUCUUCGGAUCGUAAAACUCUGUUAUUAGGGAAGAACAUAUGUGUAAGUAACUGUGCACAUCUUGACGGUACCUAAUCAGAAAGGCACGGCUAACUACGUG